RNAcentral lists this long non-coding RNA (3322 nucleotides) under Lupinus angustifolius (narrow-leaved blue lupine). Its description in RNAcentral is "long non-coding RNA (LANG_LNC000726)". Lineage: Eukaryota; Viridiplantae; Streptophyta; Magnoliopsida; Fabales; Fabaceae. The record is from RNAcentral.
CAAGUUUGGAAUUUGAUCCUUUGAAUACAUUUGCUUUUUUUAGAAAUACAACAACCUUCUUCUACAUAAUUGGAACUUAAUUACUAAUACAAAAAGACAUAUAGUAUCUUUAUGCCUAACAUGUUUGUUUUGGCUAUUAAAUAAGACUAAUUUACAAAAACUAUGCAGCACUCGAGUUUUUCUUUGCUAAUCAAUCAUAAAUUUUUAUUUUUAUGACACACUGUGGGACCCCCUUCCGCUAUACCCUCCCUCACAUACAAACCUAAAAGAGUUUUGGAUUUUCGGUUGGGCCCAUGCCUCCACCGUGAGCCCUUAUUUCGAUAACUCAGCUUCUCACACCCGGCCUAUCGUGUCAUCAUGAACCGGUAUCAAAAAACUAAACCCGGUUCGCUCUUCGACACGUAAAGCACUUCGCCACUGCUAUUUUCUCAGAAUUCACCACGCAGGGUGUACACGUGGCGGUUCGGUCCAAGUCAUCACACUUUCAUUCUCACUGGCUUUAAAUAGUUCAUACUUAUUGAUCCCCACAUUAUCCUCUCACUUUGCAAGUUGCAACCUGCUAUGCACGAAAACCAUCACCUCACGCAACCAAACAAACAUUUUCUAUUUUAAAUCCUAACUGACUUUGUAUCCGGUGAAAUACUCGUCGGAAAUUGAUCGGCGCGCCGGAUUGUAUGGAGGCUCCGGCGAUCGUUGCUGAUCUUGGAAUCCUAUUGAGGUUAUCGUGCCGUAGCUUGUUUGGGAAAUGGAAUCGUGUAUGGUCGUAGAAAUUAGAAACCCUAAACAAAAGCGACUUUACUUAGCAGAGUUUUCAAGUUAUUCCAUGCUUCCUUCCGCAGGCACGAGGCAGAUUAUGACUAUAUAAAUAUAUUAGGAGAUUAAAAAAUCAAAAAGACUUGCCGUAGUUUCAGAGUCUUCGAUUUUUUGUGGAACUUCAUUGAUUUUCUAUUCUAUUUUUUAUUUGCUUUUUUUUUUGGUUUCUCCGUUCUCAAAUUUUGAAAUCGUAUGCGGAGAAUCGAUAAAGAAGGUUUUGCAGAACUUUUAGAGGUUCAAUUUGCUUUACACAGUUCUGUUUUGCGAGUCCAAUUUUAAAAUCAAACUCGAGAUUCGGAAACUGUAGAAGAUGAAACACUAAAAAACUGUUAGAUUGUCUUGUUGAGCUAUCAUCAUUUUCGUCAUGCCUUUUCCGAUGAAAAUUCAGCCGAUCGAUUUUCAGUUACCGGCGGAAGGGACUAGGCUUGAGCUGGCCAAGCCUGUCGUUAAGUCACGAUUGAAGCGGCUCCUUGAGCGCCAGUUCUCCGGCGUACUGAGAAAUCCUGCGGUGGAGAAAGUUUCCGGCGCCAUCGAGGAACAGAAUUUGUGCAAGGACGGCAUCAACUACUCACAUGAUUUUGAGCCGAGUACGGUGUGCUUGACGAACAUGGUGCAUAAUUUCAUAGAGGAGAAUCCUGAGAAGCACUCUGUUUCCGUUAGGUGCGGACGUAACCGCUGUAACUGCUUCAAUAGGAACUCUGACGAUAACUCUGACAACGACUCAGACGAUUUCAGCGACUCUAACUAUUCUCCCAGUGAAGCGUGUGAAAUCCUCAAGGUAAAUAGCGCUUCAACUAGAUUGUAAUUGAAACCGUUUAAAAAAAGAGAAGGAAUGAUUCUGAAACGCGUUUUUUAAAUAAUUUUGAACAGGGUAUGGUAGCUUGUGCAAGUGUUUUUGAGAGGAACUUGCUAGCGGACACUACAAAGAUAGUUGAUAAUAAUAACAAGAUCUGCAAGCGCAAAGAUAGUUACUGCAGAAAGAUUGUUACUGAAUGUUUGUUAUCUCUCGGAUAUGAUGCUUCCAUUUGCAAAUCUUGCUGGGAAAAAUCCCCUUCCUGCCCCUCCGGUAAUUUCUCUCUAACAAAUUCUCUUUGUUGUUUGAGCUUGAUUUGAUUAGAAUUCAUGUUUUCUUAAUCAUGUAUAUGUGUGUGUGAUUUUGUGUAGGGGAAUAUGAAUAUAUUGAUGUGAUAUUAGGGAAAGAGCGGGUGCUAAUUGACAUUGACUUUAAAUCUGAAUUUGAGAUCGCUAGAUCAACCAAGACAUACAAGACGAUUCUCCAGAAUCUUCCAUACAUAUUUGUAGGCAAGUGUGAUAGGUUGCAGAACAUUGUGGCUAUUGUAUCCGAGGCAGUGAAGCAGAGUUUGAAGAAGAAAGGGAUGCAUGUUCCACCGUGGAGGAGGGCUGAAUACGUUAGAGCUAAAUGGCUUUCUCCUUAUACGCGCGCUACGCCACCAAAGAUGGAGAAUCUGCAGCUAUUGAAGGGAAGUAACUGUGUUGAGUCUCAAGUUUGUAAGAGUUCAGCUGAAGAGGAGAAGGCGGAGGUGAAGGCGGUGGUAGAAUGGAAGCCACCGGAGGUCAAGGCCAAGGGUUCACUAUCUGGAGUUAAGGUUGUAACUGGUUUUGCAGCAGUUUUUGAUAAAGAUAAUGAAUAACCCAUACAAUUUUGACAUUUUCCUUUUGUUUUUGUUUUGUUUUCCGGUAAGAGGCGUUUUCCCUUUAAUUUGCCAAAGUGAGGGUUCAAAAUAUGAUAUAUAACUAUAAUAGCUCUGUGACUCUUACCUAUCUCCCCCUUGGUUUUUUUAGGUGCGGGGUGUAUUUUACUAAUAUGAAUAAAGUUUAAGUAUAGUUUAGUUUAUUUAUUGGAGCCAAGUUUGGAAUUUGAUCCUUUGAAUACAUUUGCUUUUUUUAGAAAUACAACAACCUUCUUCUACAUAAUUGGAACUUAAUUACUAAUACAAAAAGACAUAUAGUAUCUUUAUGCCUAACAUGUUUGUUUUGGCUAUUAAAUAAGACUAAUUUACAAAAACUAUGCAGCACUCGAGUUUUUCUUUGCCUUAUUUAGCACAAUAACAACAAUCCGAAGCUGUAAAGUCUCCUCUGCUAUCGUUCUUCCUCACUAACAGCACUCCGCUGCUCUUUCUUCUUAUUACGGCUGUACAUAAAUAAUGCUUGUUUCUUGGUUGGAUUUUCAAAGACGUUGUGGGUUAUGAAAACGUUACUAGAGGGAGUUUUUGUGAGGAGGUAUAUUUCAGAGAAAAUAUGCAAGAACGUUUGGUUGGCAGGAAUGGUUGAAUUAUGAAUAAACUGCUAGUUUUAUAAAUUGCCUUAUGCCCACUAUGACCAUAGAGAAAUACAGGAUAUGACUCAGAAUCAUACGCAUAAAGCAUGUAAUUGUCGCAAAUAAAGCACUACCAUCACCAACAAUAUCUAAACUAUAGUAGGAUUUGCUAUGAUAAGCUGAUUAUGAAUUCUGCAUAUACCAAUAUAUACAUGGCACCCUGCAUCUGUU